This 433-nucleotide ribosomal RNA is filed under the name uncultured bacterium. RNAcentral's name for it is "partial 16S ribosomal RNA". It matches the Rfam family "Bacterial small subunit ribosomal RNA", at positions 29 to 507 of the family's 1533-position model. The record is from RNAcentral.
AACGAACGCUGGCGGCAUGCCUAACACAUGCAAGUCGAACGAGACCUUCGGGUCUAGUGGCGCACGGGUUCGUAACGCGUGGGAACCUUCACUUAGGUUCGGAAUAACUCCCCGAAAGGGGUGCUAAUACCGGAUAAUGUCUUCGGACCAAAGAUUUAUCGCCUUUGGAUGGGCCCGCGUUGGAUUAGCUAGUUGGUAGGGUAAAAGCCUACCAAGGCGACGAUCCAUAGCUGGUCUGAGAGGAUGAUCAGCCACACUGGGACUAAGACACGGCCCAGACUCCUACGGGAGGCAGCAGUGGGGGACAUUAGACAAUGGGCGGAAGCCUGAUCCAGCAAUGACGGGUGAGUGAUGAAGGCCUUAGGGUUGAAAAGCUCUUUUACCCGGGAUGAUAAUGACAGUACCGGGAGAAUAAGCUCCGGCUAACUCCGUG